AACGAACGCUGGCGGCAGGCCUAACACAUGCAAGUCGAGCGAGAUCUUCGGAUCUAGCGGCGGACGGGUGAGUAACGCGUGGGAAUAUGCCCUUCUCUACGGAAUAGCCCUGGGAAACUGGGAGUAAUACCGUAUACGCCCUACGGGGGAAAGAUUUAUCGGAGAAGGAUUAGCCCGCGUUGGAUUAGGUAGUUGGUGGGGUAAUGGCCUACCAAGCCUACGAUCCAUAGCUGGUUUGAGAGGAUGAUCAGCCACACUGGGACUGAGACACGGCCCAGACUCCUACGGGAGGCAGCAGUGGGGAAUCUUAGACAAUGGGGGAAACCCUGAUCUAGCCAUGCCGCGUGAGUGAUGAAGGCCUUAGGGUUGUAAAGCUCUUUCAGCUGGGAAGAUAAUGACGGUACCAGCAGAAGAAGCCCCGGCUAACUCCGUG
RNAcentral lists this ribosomal RNA (433 nucleotides) under uncultured organism. Its description in RNAcentral is "bacterial SSU rRNA". It matches the Rfam family "Bacterial small subunit ribosomal RNA", at positions 29 to 507 of the family's 1533-position model. The record is from RNAcentral.